AAGAGAUCUGUACUUAGGAAUUUUAUUUGUUACUUUUGUUGAGGCAUUUGGAAUUUGUAGUUUUUGUAAUUUUAUGGUCUUUUUGGGUGGUAUUUGAUAGAGUUAGGACUGGUUUAAGAGCAAUUUAACCAAACAAAAGAGAACAGAAAUGGAGAAGGGAGAAUUGUAUUACUGGAAAUCAAUUCUCAAUACAAGAAAGAGUUUCCCUAGCAGAGAAUUCUGCCAACCAAGCUAUACAGCUGGCCAAAUAACAAAAUACACUGAACAUAUCCUCAUUAUUAAGCUAUUACCCUAUAUAUAGAUUUUCUCUGCUCUUUAAGAGUUUGUUACACCCUUACCAUGCAUUCCCAAAUUACCCUCAUUCUAUUGGACAUUCCGUUGAGUGGCAGCUGUCAUUCUCUUUUCUUGAUCUCCCUGGAUUCUUCUAGAGUAUACCUUCCAUUCCCUUUUUGCCCUUCCUUUGCCUUCCACCGCUUGAGUAUACGUAUCAGUUUUGGUGUAA
RNAcentral lists this unclassified non-coding RNA (502 nucleotides) under Hevea brasiliensis (rubber tree). The record is from RNAcentral. Lineage: Eukaryota; Viridiplantae; Streptophyta; Magnoliopsida; Malpighiales; Euphorbiaceae.